Molecule: long non-coding RNA, 4588 nt
Filed under: Gallus gallus (chicken)
Lineage: Eukaryota; Metazoa; Chordata; Aves; Galliformes; Phasianidae
Description: lncRNA (ENSGALG00010025083.1)
Source: RNAcentral
AUGAGGGCAUCCUGCCUCCAGCUCUGCGUUAACCCUCUCCUAGGAUGCGGUCCUCCUGCCCGGCUGCGUGUUUUGGGGUAAACAUCUCUCAUAACUCGUGGCCAGAAGGCAGCAAUUAGGCUUUCUUUUCUAGACCCAGAAUAGAUUCCACGAGCACGGCUCCAGGAGAUAUCUCAGCAGUGCAAAGUCUGAGGCUUUCACCAUUCUACAUAAAGCCUUACCCAGACGAUUACAGCCUAAUGGCUCGGCUUCCUCAAUAAUGGAAGACACCGCAUUGCAGAGAAGUCCUUAGCAGCUCUUUCCCUCCAUAGCAUUUUUUGCAUACACCUGACUUGCAAUACGUUUAAGAAUAUACCCCAACUGAAAUCCCACUUUGGUUGCAUGAUUGCAAAUAACCCGGGGGGGCUCUGCUGUUCUCUGCAUUACUGGAGCUCCUCAGAAGCUGUGGCUCCUGCAGCUGGUAGCUGCCCAGCACCCUCAGCUUGCAGUAACAGAUGGAAUAAAACCAAGCCUCAGCAUUGCAGAGAAAUGAUUAAAAACACGGUCUUCAAAAUUCAUAAUGAAACUUAAAAGCACCCCCUCAUCCUUUAUUCACACAGAGAUAUACAUAAAUACAUACAGAUUGUUUCUGUAAGGCACAGAGCCAGCUUGGGGAUAUGUGACUCACGUCACUCACAGUUUUGAAUCCUUAGGGUUGCAGCAGAGGGGCAUCUUGCAGCACCUCUCCCAGAGCUGCUGUCUCACACUAACAUUCACGUCGUGGCUGAAUUUAAUAUUUCACCUUCAUUUCCUCCACCCGGCCUCCUGCAGCUGUCCUGACAUGAGGGUGGGAGCGGUCAUCCAGGGGCAAGGUUCACCAGAAACAACCCCUUAAACACACCUUUCUGGUGGAGUACUUAAACCCUUUUGUAGCUUGGAUUCUGGAUAUGAUUUCUGUCCAUAAAUAGCCAGGAUGGGGUUCAGUUAAAUCACCAAAGCAUCCAGCUGCACAGCCCCUCGCAGAAGCCCUGCUUGCAUACACUUGUCACCUUGCAACCAGGGCAGUGCAGUAGCUCUGGGGUACCUGCAGUUCCCUCAGUGUUCCCAACCACCGUGGUCGUACAGCACUUCACCCUCUCUGUCCCUUGCACAGGCUCAGCCCAUGCGAUCUCGGGUCAGGAGGUGCUUUGGGAGGGCUGCCCAGGUAUACCACUGGGCUUGGGUAGGGGGAAGAGGUGAGGAUGUGCAGACCUCGAAGGAUGCACAGAUCCCAAGUUACUGGAGAAGACUGCAUUUCAUAUCUCCUCUCCCAGUGGUCAGUUAUCUUCACUGAGGCUGAGCUGCACCAAUGCGCCGGGAAGGUGUUGAAGUCUGAUUAAGUGUCAUUAAAGGCUCCUGUCUUGCUUGGGGAUGAAGAUGGAUGGGGAUGGGGAUGAAGAUGAAGAUGGCACACACAGCAGGAUGUGGCUUGCCAAGGGCUUGGGCCUUAGGGCUCUGCAGACCUCUUGUUUCUUCUUCUCUAGUGAAGACAAACCCUUCAGGAGAUGGGCUUUGCCAUCUCCUGUGCUGAUGCUAAAACAUUUGUCCAUGCAGUGCUUUGCAAAGAAUCUGCCUGCGGUGAGCUGAGGCCAAGCUGGCAGAGAGACACAGAGAAACCUUGCCCAGUAAAGCUCAUUUCAUAUUCAGUCGUAACUUCUGUGUUUCAGGGUCACCUCAGUCCCUGCCUCAGCAGAUACCUUCUGUAACCCAUUGCAUGAUCUUCAGAGAGGCCCACAAGGGUCCCAGGGAACACGGGCAUGUGACCCAUGUCUCCACUUUCUUCUACCUUCCUUCUGGGAAGGAGUUUCUUCGCAAGUAGUUUUUUUUUUUCUUCCUUUUCUUCAUUUUUUCCAAGCAUCUUAGCAGCAGCUUCUUCUAUAGUGACAGGAGAGUCAGCUCUCACAGAACACCAGCAUCGGGGGCUAACAGAGAUCCACUGUCCCUGUUCUCCCCACCUGCCUUGAUGAACCUUGUAAUGAGCUUUCCAAGUGUCUGGGCUUGGCCCAGCUGCUGGAGUCAUACAGAAAAGCUGGGUGCAUCUUUGGACUGUGUGCAUGGUAUACAGCCAGAAGAGGAGGGUUUUUUGGCAAAACCCGAGACAAAUCAGACAAUCCCUUUCUGAGACAUAGGUCUUAGGGAAAAUAAGUGUAAUUCAGAGUGUUUGAAGCAUCUCCUAAUGCUUUUUCAUGUCAUGUCUCAAAUAUGGCUUGGCCUAGAAACUUCAGAUUUGUUUAAUUCAAGAGCCCUUGACGUAAUCUAGCACAGAUGAGGGCUUCUGAGAGGCUGCAGUGCUUAUUUGGAGCUAUUCUCCUCCGAAUUACGAAUAUAUUAGUGUUCUAUCAGCAGCUGUGACAGUGAAAAGUUAAGACAGGCUUUCUAGGCUUUGCCAAAGAAUCCUCAGAGCCCUCUUCCUCCAUCAGACUGCUUUCACCCACCAGGAUGAGGACUGCUCAGGUGCCCUACAAACCAAAGCCAGCCCAGAACAUCCACCAGUGGGAUCUGAGCUCUCCUGCCAUGCCUGUGCCACCCUGCAGCCAGUGGCCAAAGGGCACUCUCAGCUUCCCAGCCUCACCCAAGUCAAACUCCAGCCAAGACCUAAAUAAAACUAGAGAGCGUCAGACAACUCCUCCUAGCAGCAAUUCAGCUUAGGGAACGAGGAACGAGCCAGCAUGAAGUUUGGGAAGAGAGCUAUUUGCAAGUAAUAAAAGCAAAAAACCUACUGAAAUUCAUUUCCUUUCUAAUGGCCUGGGUGACUGGGAGAGGGUGGAUUUUUUUUCAUAAUUAUCAGAGCUAGGGAGAGAUGUUGCGGACGGGGUGUUAAUUAGAACCAAUAUACUUGGGUAUAUUGCAUUUCAUUAGGAGAGUAAAUAACCCCAGCAGAUUUUAAUCCCGCUGGCAGCAGGCCAAGCGCUGCCGAGAGAUUAUCUCUGAGGGUUAAAAGUAGGCCAAAGAGCUAAAAGCAGCCUUUCAUGAACGGAGAAGGCCAAGGAUCCAGGCUAGAAGUGGUCGGCCAAAGCUCGGGGAUAAUCAUAUUGAAAUCCUCAGCAGAAAGUACAUUAAAAUGAGAUAAAUCACAAUUGCCUGGUUUCUGUGGGAGGGCAGGCAGGAAGGAGGGAGCUGAAUCCAGACACUUUAACCCCAAAGACAAAUGCAGCUCAUGUUAUUUGCCUUAUCAACCCCAUGGAAAUGAAGCACCCAGGUCGAACUGAGCUGUGUGAUCACACUGCCGAAGCUGAGGGUGACCCAGCAAUGAGCAACGACGUCCUCGUGGUGCUGUACCACCUCCAGGUACCACGGUGAGGUCAUCCUGAAGGUCCCCAGGAGCAGCAUCCCUCUGGAUGACAAUCCCCUUCUGGCCAGGAAACAGUCAAAGGGGACAAACAGGAUGACUGUGUUGUGGUUUUAAACCAGCCCCAUCCCCCUGGCAGGGUUCAGUGCGUAGGGACUGAAAUACAACUGGGAGAACCUUCUCUUGUGGACACACCCAUGAAAGUGAAAAUGAGAGGUGUAGAUUUAAACCAUGACCAGAUUUGUCCCCUUGAGGUAACAGCACCCAGCCCUACUGAGGCCCAUGGUGCAGUGGCCCUGAAAGCAAGGAGUUGUCCCUAGGCCCAGCAGGACGUACCCAGCAGGACUUUGCCAAGGGAGCAUGGGCUCAGGUGGCAGCAAGGAAAGGGGACAUACAGGGGUAAGAAGCAACCUGGCUUCUCUCCUGGUCAGUAUCCCACCACAGAAACGUCAGCAGAGGCUUUGAAAGCAGUUGGAAGGGACACGAGCAAACAAGGAUGCUUUGCCCACCUUCAUCUUCCCCUCUGCUCCCAGAUAAAUGAGCACUGGUCAUAUGGUCUUUGGGUAAACUGAUCGCUGUUUGCAGGGGCACAGCAAAACAUCGUGCUCUGCAACUGCAGAUCUAUGCAAAAAGGUGCAAACGAAAGGAAGAAAUAAGCUGGAGCUGUGACAUUCUGGCAGCACUAGGAAGCAAAAAGCAUUGAAAGAGGUUAAGAGGGUCUGUGGUUGGCGUGAAUUUCUGUGUCCCGCUCUUCACCUGGCUCUUCACUGUCAGCAGCUUCUGAAUGCAGAAAAUCAGCUCUGAAAAACUGAAGUACCAAAACUUCACUCCAUAAAAGAGGGAGAAAAUCAUUUUUGUCCCUUGUCCUUGGGAGCGUGAGCUGGAAUCACUCGGUUAGCUGCUUUGGGAGGGACUGGAGUGGUACGAUAAGAUGGCUGGGAUGCUCUGACAUAGCCUAAUUCAAUUAAAACACGGUUUUAUCCUGAGAAGGGACCCAGAUUCUUCGCCAGUGAUGGCACAGAGGCGCACACCAAGCAACCACAGGAGGGAAUUACACCAUUUCAUGAUCUCAGCGCCGAGCAAAGGCAGUCUAACCCCCAGCGCCCACAGUCAUGACAUCAGUGCCGGUCCCACAGGGCAACUGGUGGAUUUCUUUGGUUGGAGGAACCAGGGAAACCAGAGCUUGCUAAAUAAAUUAGAGAACUGGAGAAGAGCACAAACACACAGGCACAGAAGUAUCCCCAUCCGCCCUGCUGCAGCGGAUACGAAAAGCCUCAGAGC